RNAcentral lists this ribosomal RNA (465 nucleotides) under Vreelandella stevensii. RNAcentral's name for it is "partial 16S ribosomal RNA". It matches the Rfam family "Bacterial small subunit ribosomal RNA", at positions 338 to 795 of the family's 1533-position model. The record is from RNAcentral. Lineage: Bacteria; Pseudomonadati; Pseudomonadota; Gammaproteobacteria; Oceanospirillales; Halomonadaceae.
CCUACGGGUGGCAGCGGUGGGGAAUAUUGGACAAUGGGGGGAACCCUGAUCCAGCCAUGCCGCGUGUGUGAAGAAGGCCCUCGGGUUGUAAAGCACUUUCAGUGAGGAAGAACGCCUGGUGGUUAAUACCCAUCAGGAAAGACAUCACUCACAGAAGAAGCACCGGCUAACUCCGUGCCAGCAGCCGCGGUAAUACGGAGGGUGCGAGCGUUAAUCGGAAUUACUGGGCGUAAAGCGCGCGUAGGUGGCUUGAUAAGCCGGUUGUGAAAGCCCCGGGCUCAACCUGGGAACGGCAUCCGGAACUGUCAAGCUAGAGUGCAGGAGAGGAAGGUAGAAUUCCCGGUGUAGCGGUGAAAUGCGUAGAGAUCGGGAGGAAUACCAGUGGCGAAGGCGGCCUUCUGGACUGACACUGACACUGAGGUGCGAAAGCGUGGGUAGCAAACAGGAUUAGAUACCCUGGUAGUC